GAUGCAGCGACGCCGCGUGGAGGAAGAAGGUCUUCGGAUUGUAAACUCCUGUUGUUGAGGAAGAUAAUGACGGUACUCAACAAGGAAGUGACGGCUAACUACGUGCCAGCAGCCGCGGUAAAACGUAGGUCACAAGCGUUGUCCGGAAUUACUGGGUGUAAAGGGAGCGCAGGCGGGAGAACAAGUUGGAAGUGAAAUCCAUGGGCUCAACCCAUGAACUGCUUUCAAAACUGUUUUUCUUGAGUAUUGCAGAGGUAGGCGGAAUUCCCGGUGUAGCGGUGGAAUGCGUAGAUAUCGGGAGGAACACCAUUGGCGAAGGCGGCCUACUGGGCACCAACUGACGCUGAGGCUCGAAAGUGUGGGUAGCAAACAGGAUUAGAUACCCUGGUAGUCCACACCGUAAACGAUGAUUACUAGGUGUUGGAGGAUUGACCCCUUCAGUGCCGCAGUUAACACAAUAAGUAAUCCACCUGGGGAGUACGACCGCAAGGUUGAAACUCAAAGGAAUUGACGGA
This 515-nucleotide ribosomal RNA is filed under the name uncultured bacterium. RNAcentral's name for it is "bacterial SSU rRNA". It matches the Rfam family "Bacterial small subunit ribosomal RNA", at positions 385 to 917 of the family's 1533-position model. The record is from RNAcentral.